Molecule: transfer RNA, 65 nt
Filed under: Dipodomys ordii (Ord's kangaroo rat)
Lineage: Eukaryota; Metazoa; Chordata; Mammalia; Rodentia; Heteromyidae
Rfam family: tRNA
About the family: Transfer RNA (tRNA) molecules are approximately 80 nucleotides in length. Their secondary structure includes four short double-helical elements and three loops (D, anti-codon, and T loops).
Source: Rfam by way of RNAcentral
GGUGGCUCAGUGGUAGAGUGCUUGCCUUGCAUGCAUGAGGCCCUGGGUUCAGUUCCUGAGCACCA